RNAcentral lists this ribosomal RNA (501 nucleotides) under uncultured bacterium. Its description in RNAcentral is "partial 16S ribosomal RNA". It matches the Rfam family "Bacterial small subunit ribosomal RNA", at positions 30 to 523 of the family's 1533-position model. The record is from RNAcentral.
AUUGAACGCUGGCGGCAGGCUUAACACAUGCAAGUCGAGCGGAGAGAGGUAGCUUGCUACUGAUCUUAGCGGCGGACGGGUGAGUAAUGCUUAGGAAUCUGCCUAUUAGUGGGGGACAACAUUUCGAAAGGAAUGCUAAUACCGCAUACGUCCUACGGGAGAAAGCAGGGGGUCUUCGGACCUUGCGCUAAUAGAUGAGCCUAAGUCGGAUUAGCUAGUUGGUGGGGUAAAGGCCUACCAAGGCGACGAUCUGUAGCGGGUCUGAGAGGAUGAUCCGCCACUCUGGGACUGAGACACGGCCCAGACUCCUACGGGAGGCAGCAGUGGGGAAUAUUGGACAAUGGGCGGAAGCCUGAUCCAGCCAUGCCGCGUGUGUGAAGAAUGCCUUAUGGUUGUAAAGCACUUUAAGCGAGGAGGAGGCUACUUUAGUUAAUACCUAGAGAUAGUGGACGUUACUCGCAGAAUAAGCACCGGCUAACUCUGUGCCAGCCGCCGCGGUAA